UGAACGCUGGCGGCGUGCCUACUACAUGCACGUCGAGCGAACAGACGAGGAGCUUGCUCCUCUGCCGUUAGCGGCGGACGGGUGAGUAACACGUGGAUAACCUACCUAUAAGACUGGGAUAACUUCGGGAAACCGGAGCUAAUACCGGAUAAUAUAUUGAACCGCAUGGUUCACUAGUGAAAGACGGUUUUGCUGUCACUUAUAGAUGGAUCCGCGCCGCAUUAGCUAGUUGGUAAGGUAACGGCUUACCAAGGCAACGAUGCGUAGCCGACCUGAGAGGGUGAUCGGCCACACUGGAACUGAGACACGGUCCAGACUCCUACGGGAGGCAGCAGUAGGGAAUCUUCCGCAAUGGGCGAAAGCCUGACGGAGCAACGCCGCGUGAGUGAUGAAGGUCUUCGGAUCGUAAAACUCUGUUAUUAGGGAAGAACAAAUGUGUAAGUAACUAUGCACGUCUUGACGGUACCUAAUCAGAAAGCCACGGCUAACUACGUG
This 495-nucleotide ribosomal RNA is filed under the name uncultured bacterium. RNAcentral describes it as "partial 16S ribosomal RNA". It matches the Rfam family "Bacterial small subunit ribosomal RNA", at positions 30 to 507 of the family's 1533-position model. The record is from RNAcentral.